Molecule: transfer RNA, 98 nt
Organism: Hydnomerulius pinastri MD-312
Lineage: Eukaryota; Fungi; Basidiomycota; Agaricomycetes; Boletales
Rfam family: tRNA
About the family: Transfer RNA (tRNA) molecules are approximately 80 nucleotides in length. Their secondary structure includes four short double-helical elements and three loops (D, anti-codon, and T loops).
Source: Rfam
GCCCGCCUAGCUCAAUUGGUCAGAGCGUCAGACUUUUAAGGCGGGUUGAAACGCCUGAGUUUAUCUGAAGGCUGCGAGUUCGACCCUCGCGGUGGGCU